ACGAUCUCUGGAAAAUGACAUGGAAAAUAGAAAAUAACUUGCAUAACUCGACGGUCAAUUGAUGAUCGACUUGAGCCUUCGCUACAAUGACUUUAGCUUUAAUGUGCAGUUUAUUGUGCAAUGAAGGUGGCGAGGGAUUUUUCCGAUACAAAUCCCCGACGUAAGAUAGCGUGCGCUUGAGAACGACUGAGAAAUAUCAAUCGAGGUCCAGCCAGUAGCAUGACGAGCAACACCGCAAACUGGAAAUUACCACAAUGAUUAGAAUCGUUGGAAUCUUGUUUGUCCUUUAUGUCUUGUAUCAUGCGUUUCUUUCAUGCACGUGAAACCAGUUUAUAAAUCGCGCGGUUACUUCUUCCACAAAAAGGGGAAACCAUUUUAUACCGGCUAUCAAGGCCUCACGACAGUGAGAAUGCACAGUGAGAAACAAGAAGACUCACCGACUUGCUCGUUUAACUAAAUGGAAAUCGAUGUUUACCUGGCACACAGGAUGUUCCACGUACCAUUCUGAUCACGAAUAUUACGAUUAUACCUCGCGGGCACCUUUCACAUACGCGCGCGCAAAACGAAGUGAAGAAAAGUGAAAUUGACAUUGUCGGUUGAUUGGACUCUUGGCGCCUCGGGUUUACCGAGUAAUUAUCGCGUUCUUGCGGCUUUAGGCGUCGCGCGUUUUAAUUCAGUCGUUUAUCAAACUUAUUUUCAUAUACACUUCAGAUCGCUGAAAAACCGAUUCUGAACUAAUUUGAAAUCUAAUUUGAAAGAAAAAAAUGGUUAUCUCAAACGAUUGAACAUAUCGACUUGUUUUAACGGAGCGUCGGCGAUUAUUGAUUGAUCUCUUCGAGACUGAAAAAAAUCAAGGCUGUCCUACUAGCACGAUUUUGAAGUAAAUGAACGAACACUUUCGCGAACGCAGAAGGGUAUAUAUAUCUCCUUUUUUUCAUGUAUGAUGACGACGACAAUGAUAAUGAUGAUGAUAGCGGAAAUCAGCAGUUUCUAUUUCGUGCAAACUCACUCACUUUGAUGUGAAAGGCACGAAGAAGCUUAUACCGGCCGUGUCCAUUUCUCUCAACGAGGACGACGAACAAUAGUUAUCUGCGCUUGUGGAUGUAUCCGAGGCGCGAUUAUAUGCACAGUUUCUGUCAAAUGCAGCGUCGUUUCGCAUGAAAGGAUCGAUUUUGUUCACGAGCUGUCCAACGAUCGCACUGCCCUGGGAAGAGAGCUUCCACUUUCGAUUAACUGGAAUGAAACGGGAUACUUGUCAAUUCUUAUUAAAAAAAAAAAGAA
Molecule: long non-coding RNA, 1281 nt
Organism: Ooceraea biroi (clonal raider ant)
Lineage: Eukaryota; Metazoa; Arthropoda; Insecta; Hymenoptera; Formicidae
Source: RefSeq, a predicted model, not a curated record